CUUGACUCUAGUCUGGCACCGUGAGGAGACAUGAGAGGUGUAGCAUAAGUGGGAGGCCCGCUCCGGCGGCGCCGGCCUUGAAAUACCACUACUCUGAUAGUUUCUUCACUUACUCGGUGAGGCGGAGGGCGCGCGCCGUUCCCUGCGUUCGGCGCGCGGUCUUCUGGAACCAAGGCCUCGCCCGGCCCGGACGGGCCGGGCGGCCGAUCCGAUCCGAGGACGCUGCCAGGCCGGGAGUUUGACUGGGGCGGUACAUCUGUCAAAGGAUAACGCAGGUGUCCUAAGGUCGGCUCAGCGAGGACGGAAACCUCGCGUGGAGCAGAAGGGCAAAAGCCGGCUUGAUCCCGAUGUCCAGUAAGCAUGGGGACCGCGCAAGCGCGGCCCAUCGAUCCUUUUGGCUCGGAGAGUUUCCGGCGAGAGGUGUCAGAAAAGUUACCACAGGGA
The sequence is a ribosomal RNA, 444 nucleotides long. It matches the Rfam family "Eukaryotic large subunit ribosomal RNA", at positions 2421 to 2826 of the family's 3401-position model.